RNAcentral lists this ribosomal RNA (330 nucleotides) under Triticum aestivum (bread wheat). Its description in RNAcentral is "partial small subunit ribosomal RNA". Lineage: Eukaryota; Viridiplantae; Streptophyta; Magnoliopsida; Poales; Poaceae. The record is from RNAcentral.
AUGCGUAUGUUGAGAUGGAUGUGUGGCCACACGAGGAAGGAUCGAGUCCGGAAUGAUGAUAUACGAGAUAGAGUUGGGGUAGCACCAAUUGAGGAGAAGCUUGUCCAACAUCGUUUGAGAUGGUUUGGGCAUAUUCAGCGCAGGCCUCCAGAAGCUCCAGUGCAUAGCGGACGGCUAAAGCGUGCGGAGAAUGUCAAGAGAGGGAGGGGUCGACCGAUUUUGACAUGGGAGGAGUCCGUUAAGAGAGACCUGAAGGAUUGGAGUAUCGACAAAGAGCUAGCUAUGGACAGGGGUGCGUGGAAGCUUGCUAUCCAUCUGCCAGAGCCAUGA